AGUGAACGCUGGCGGUAGGCCUAACACAUGCAAGUCGAACGGCAGCACAGUAAGAGCUUGCUCUUACGGGUGGCGAGUGGCGGACGGGUGAGGAAUACAUCGGAAUCUACUUUUUCGUGGGGGAUAACGUAGGGAAACUUACGCUAAUACCGCAUACGACCUACGGGUGAAAGCAGGGGAUCUUCGGACCUUGCGCGAUUGAAUGAGCCGAUGUCGGAUUAGCUAGUUGGCGGGGUAAAGGCCCACCAAGGCGACGAUCCGUAGCUGGUCUGAGAGGAUGAUCAGCGACACUGGAACUGAGACAGGGUCCAGAGUCCUACGGGAGGCAGCAGUGGGGAAUAUUGGACAAUGGGCGCAAGCCUGAUCCAGCCAUACCGCGUGGGUGAAGAAGGCCUUCGGGUUGUAAAGCCCUUUUGUUGGGAAAGAAAAGCAGCAGGUUAAUACCCCGCUGUUCUGACGGUACCCAAAGAAUAAGCACCGGCUAACUUCGUG
RNAcentral lists this ribosomal RNA (492 nucleotides) under uncultured bacterium. RNAcentral describes it as "partial 16S ribosomal RNA". It matches the Rfam family "Bacterial small subunit ribosomal RNA", at positions 29 to 507 of the family's 1533-position model. The record is from RNAcentral.